Corapipo altera (White-ruffed manakin) is the source of this 278-nucleotide long non-coding RNA. RefSeq lists it as uncharacterized. NCBI's taxonomy places the organism in Eukaryota, Metazoa, Chordata, Aves, Passeriformes, Pipridae. The transcript is spliced from 3 exons. The record is from RefSeq and is a predicted model, not a curated record.
UAGAUACAAAAAAUUCUUCCAUCACUCUUUAUUUUCCAUUGCUCUUCCGUGUAAAGAAUACAGCUAUUGGAAUCUGGAUUUCAUGGUCAGCUUAGAAAUUAUCGGCAGUUCUCACAGGCAAAUACUUAGUAGAGUGCGAAUGACAAAAUCUCAAGUGCCAAAUAUAACCCGUGCAUCACCACGGAGCUCGGAACAGUGCUCCAUACAGGCGAACCAUAACACAGCGCAGCACAAGAGUAAAAAAUAGCAUCAUGUUUUUCCCCAAGGAUGUCAAGGCC